UACGUAGGUGGCAAGCGUUGUCCGGAAUUAUUGGGCGUAAAGCGCGCGCAGGCGGCCUCUUAAGUCUGAUGUGAAAGCCCCCCGGCUCAACCGGGGGAGGGCCAUUGGAAACUGGGAGGCUUGAGUAUAGGAGAGAAGAGUGGAAUUCCACGUGUAGCGGUGAAAUGCGUAGAGAUGUGGAGGAACACCAGUGGCGAAGGCGACUCUUUGGCCUAUAACUGACGCUGGGGCGCGAAAGCGUGGGGAGCAAACAGGG
This 256-nucleotide ribosomal RNA is filed under the name uncultured bacterium. RNAcentral's name for it is "partial 16S ribosomal RNA". It matches the Rfam family "Bacterial small subunit ribosomal RNA", at positions 524 to 777 of the family's 1533-position model. The record is from RNAcentral.